This 137-nucleotide non-coding RNA is filed under the name Bacillus sp. (in: firmicutes). RNAcentral describes it as "Bacillus sp. SAM-I sequence". The stretch from base 1 to 101 matches the Rfam family "SAM riboswitch aptamer (S box leader)". From Rfam's summary of the family: The SAM riboswitch is found upstream of a number of genes which code for proteins involved in methionine or cysteine biosynthesis in Gram-positive bacteria. The SAM riboswitch acts at the level of transcription termination control. The predicted structure consists of a complex stem-loop region followed by a single stem loop terminator region. The record is from RNAcentral. Lineage: Bacteria; Bacillati; Bacillota; Bacilli; Caryophanales; Bacillaceae.
UUCUUAUCAAGAGAGGCAGAGGGACUGGCCCAAUGAAGCCUCAGCAACCGGUCAAAACGAGUGAAGAUCUGGCGAAUGUUGAUUUUGCUAUAUGUUAAGUGAAGCUCUAUGUUGUUUUUUACAGCACGGGAAGAUAA